GUAUAUGUGCUAGAGCAGAAGGCUGACUAGACCCUAAGUAUAUGUGUUAGGGUUAGUCGGAUGAACUCUAAGUAUAUAUGUUAGAGUUCGAAUAAACUUGAUAUCAUUUGAUUGAAUUCUAAGUAUAUGACUUAGAACUUUGUCGAUUUGGAGAUAUUUUGCCUUAGUUAUAUGUGCUAAGGCGAUUGACUUAGCCCUAAGUAUAUGUAUUAGGAGUAGUCGAUAUUUAAUUUUCACUCUAGGUAUAUAUGCUAGAGUAGAAAAGGUUCAUGAUGAACUUGGAUAUUGGCUCAUGAGAUUUGAGUAUUGGCUCACGAGAUUUGGUUCAUGAAUUUGGAUAUAGUUCAUGAAUUUGGCGUAUGGACUCGGUUCAUGAACUUGGAUAUGGUUCAUGAGUUUGGUGUAUGGAUUUGGUUCAUGAACUUUGAUAUGGUUCAUGGGUUUGGUGUAUGGAUUUGGUUCAUGAACUUGGAUAUGGUUCAUGGGUUUGAUGUAUGGAUUUGGUUCAUGAACUUGGAUAUGGUUCAUGGAUUUGGUGUAUGGAUUUGGUUCAUGAAAUUGGAUAUGGUUCAUGGAUUUGGUGUAUGGAUUUGGUUCAUGGUUCAAGGAAUUUGGGUUUAGUUUAACGACUUUUCGGUCGUUUGAAAUUUGGGUUUAGUUUAACGACUUUUCGGUCGUUUGAAAUUUGGGUUUAGUUUAGCGACUUUUCGGUCGUUUGAAUGUGAGUUGUUUAGUUUGACGACUUUACGGUCGGUUGGAUUUGGUUGUUUUGGGUUUAUUCGUGGACUUUGGGUUUUGGUUUGGCUCGAAUUUUUUGUAUUUGAUUAGGGAUGAACCGU
This 839-nucleotide long non-coding RNA is filed under the name Ananas comosus (pineapple). RNAcentral's name for it is "long non-coding RNA (ACOM_LNC017417)". The record is from RNAcentral. Lineage: Eukaryota; Viridiplantae; Streptophyta; Magnoliopsida; Poales; Bromeliaceae.